This 1533-nucleotide ribosomal RNA is filed under the name human gut metagenome. RNAcentral describes it as "bacterial LSU rRNA". It matches the Rfam family "Bacterial large subunit ribosomal RNA", at positions 842 to 2485 of the family's 2925-position model. The record is from RNAcentral.
GAAAUAGCUGGUUCUCCGCGAAAACUAUUUAGGUAGUGCGGCAAGCGGACACGUUGAGGGGUAGAGCACUGAAAGAGCUAAGGGGGAGCGAUCCUUACUAAACUUUAUCAAACUCCGAAUACUCAACAGUGAUACUUGCCAGACAGACUGUAGGUGCUAAGGUCUACGGUCGAGAGGGAAAGAGCCCAGACCGCCAAUUAAGGUCCCAAAAUUAUGGCUAAGUGGUAAAGGAAGUGAAUUGUCCAAAACAGUCAGGAGGUUGGCUUAGAAGCAGCCAUCCUUUAAAGAAAGCGUAAUAGCUCACUGAUCUAAACAAGACGAUUUGCGCCGAAGAUGUAACGGGGCUAAAGCCAUAUACCGAAAUUGCGGAUUUGCACGUUUGUGCAAGUGGUAGCGGAGCGUUCUGUAAGCCUGCGAAGGUGUUCCGUAAGGAAUGCUGGAGGUAUCAGAAGUGAGAAUGCUGACAUGAGUAGCGAAAAGAAGUGUGAGAGACACUUCCGCUGAAAGUCCAAGGUUUCCUGCGUAAAGCUAAUCUGCGCAGGGUUAGUCGGCCCCUAAGGCGAGGCAGAGAUGCGUAGUCGAUGGGAAUCAGGUUAAUAUUCCUGAACCAACUAGGAAGUGACGGAUUCAGUAAAUUGUAUGUCCUUAUUGGAUUGGAUGUGCAGUGAAUGAGUCCCGGGAAAUAGCCCUAGUAUAGACCGUACCCGAAACCGACACAGGUGGACAGGUAGAGAAUACCAAAGCGCUUGAGAGAACUAUGUUGAAGGAACUAGGCAAAAUACUUGCGUAACUUCGGGAUAAGCAAGCCCCAUUUCUGGGCAACCAGAGGUGGGGGGCACAUACUAGGGGGUAGCGACUGUUUACUAAAAACACAGGGCUCUGCUAAAUUGAAAGAUGAAGUAUAGGGUCUGACGCCUGCCCGGUGCUGGAAGGUUAAGGAGAGAUGUGCAAGCAUUGAACUGAAGCCCCAGUAAACGGCGGCCGUAACUAUAACGGUCCUAAGGUAGCGAAAUUCCUUGUCGGGUAAGUUCCGACCUGCACGAAUGGCGUAACGACUUCCCCGCUGUCUCCAACAUAGACUCAGCGAAAUUGAAUUCUGAGUUAAGAUGCUCAGUACCCGCGGUUAGACGGAAAGACCCCGUGAACCUUUACUAUAGCUUUGCAGUGGUAUUAGGUGACAAAUGUGUAGGAUAGGUGGGAUGCUAUGAAGUUAUGACGCUAGUUGUAAUGGAGCAGACGUUGAAAUACCACCCUUUUGUUAUUUGAUAUCUAACCUGCUUCCGUUAUCCGGAAGAGGGACCCUGCAUGGUGGGUAGUUUGACUGGGGCGGUCGCCUCCCAAAGAGUAACGGAGGCGCGCAAAGGUUGGCUCAGAUUGGUCGGAAAUCAAUCGUUGAGUGCAAUGGCAUAAGCCAGCCUGACUGCGAGAGCGACAGUUCGAGCAGAGACGAAAGUCGGUCAUAGUGAUCCGGUGGUCCCGAGUGGAAGGGCCAUCGCUCAACGGAUAAAAGGUACUCCGGGGAUAACAGGCUGA